CUACGGGUCGCUCCAGUAGGGAAUUUUCGACAAUGGGGGGAACCCUGAUCGAGCAAUGCCGCGUGAAUGAAGAAGGUCUUCGGACUGUAAAGUUCUUUUAUUGGAGAAGAAUGGUCACAUCAGGAAAUGGGAGUGAUUUGACGGUAUCCAUUGAAUAAGCCCCGGCUAACUACGUGCCAGCAGCCGCGGUAAUACGUAGGGGGCGAGCGUUAUCCGGAAUUAUUGGGCGUAAAGCGUGCGUAGGCGGUUUGUUAAGUCACUUGUAAAAGAUCUCAGCCCAACUGAGUAGGGCAAGUGAAACUGGCAGACUUGAAUACGGUAGAGGUAAGCGGAAUUCCAUGUGUAGCGGUGGAAUGCGUAGAUAUAUGGAGGAACACCAAUGGCGAAGGCAGCUUACUGGGCCGGAAUUGACGCUGAGGCACGAAAGCGUGGGGAGCAAACAGGAUUAGAUACCCCUGUAGUC
This 463-nucleotide ribosomal RNA is filed under the name uncultured bacterium. RNAcentral describes it as "partial 16S ribosomal RNA". It matches the Rfam family "Bacterial small subunit ribosomal RNA", at positions 339 to 795 of the family's 1533-position model. The record is from RNAcentral.